GCGAGUGGCGAACGGGUGAGUAACAUAUCGGAACGUGCCCUGGAGUGGGGGAUAACUAGUCGAAAGACUAGCUAAUACCGCAUACGAUCUACGGAUGAAAGUGGGGGAUCGCAAGACCUCAUGCUCGUGGAGCGGCCGAUAUCUGAUUAGCUAGUUGGUGGGGUAAAGGCCUACCAAGGCAUCGAUCAGUAGCUGGUCUGAGAGGACGACCAGCCACACUGGGACUGAGACACGGCCCAGACUCCUACGGGAGGCAGCAGUGGGGAAUUUUGGACAAUGGGCGCAAGCCUGAUCCAGCAAUGCCGCGUGAGUGAAGAAGGCCUUCGGGUUGUAAAGCUCUUUUGUCAGGGAAGAAACGGUGGGGGCUAAUACCUUCUGCUAAUGACGGUACCUGAAGAAUAAGCACCGGCUAACUACGUGCCAGCAG
RNAcentral lists this ribosomal RNA (427 nucleotides) under uncultured bacterium. Its description in RNAcentral is "bacterial SSU rRNA". It matches the Rfam family "Bacterial small subunit ribosomal RNA", at positions 91 to 514 of the family's 1533-position model. The record is from RNAcentral.